RNAcentral lists this ribosomal RNA (253 nucleotides) under uncultured bacterium. RNAcentral's name for it is "partial 16S ribosomal RNA". It matches the Rfam family "Bacterial small subunit ribosomal RNA", at positions 524 to 776 of the family's 1533-position model. The record is from RNAcentral.
UACGUAGGCAGCAAGCGUUGUUCGGAAUUACUGGGCGUAAAGAGUGUGUAGGCGGUGCUCUAAGUUUGGUGUGAAAUCUCCCGGCUCAACUGGGAGGGUGCGCCGAAAACUGGAAUGCUUGAACAUGGGAGAGGAAAGCGGAAUUCCUGGUGUAGCGGUGAAAUGCGUAGAUAUCAGGAGGAACACCUGCGGUGUAGACGGCUUUCUGGACCGUAGCUGACGCUGAGACACGAAAGCGUGGGUAGCAAACAGG